Molecule: ribosomal RNA, 112 nt
Filed under: Caerostris darwini
Lineage: Eukaryota; Metazoa; Arthropoda; Arachnida; Araneae; Araneidae
Source: RNAcentral
AACGGCCGUACCAUGCUGAAUAUACCGGUUCUCGUUAGAUCACCGAAGUCAAGCAUCAUUGGGCGCGGUCAGUACUUGGGUUUUUGACCACCUGGGAACACUGCGUGCCGUU